UGGGGAAUAUUGCACAAUGGGCGCAAGCCUGAUGCAGCAAUGCCGCGUGUAUGAAGAAGGCCUUAGGGUUGUAAAGUACUUUCAGCGGGGAGGAAGGGAGUACAGUUAAUACCUUUGCUCAUUGACGUUACCCGCAGAAGAAGCACCGGCUAACUCCGUGCCAGCAGCCGCGGUAAUACGGAGGGUGCACGCGUUAAUCGGAAUUACUGGGCGUAAAGCGCACGCAGGCGGUUUGUUAAGUCAGAUGUGAAAUCCCCCGGCUCAACCUAGGAACUGCAUCUGAUACUGGCAAGCUUGGGUCUCGUAGAGGGGGGUAGAAUUCCAAGUGUAGCGGUGAAAAGCGUAGAGAUCUGGGGGAAUACCGGUGGCGAAGGCGGCCCCCUGGACGAAGACUGACGCUCAGGUGCGAAAACGUGGGGAGCAAACAGG
This 429-nucleotide ribosomal RNA is filed under the name Chloroflexota bacterium. RNAcentral's name for it is "Chloroflexi bacterium partial 16S ribosomal RNA". It matches the Rfam family "Bacterial small subunit ribosomal RNA", at positions 355 to 776 of the family's 1533-position model. Lineage: Bacteria; Bacillati; Chloroflexota. The record is from RNAcentral.